GACGAACGCUGGCGGCGUGCUUAACACAUGCAAGUCGAGCGGUAAGGCCUCUUCGGGGGUACACGAGCGGCGAACGGGUGAGUAACACGUGGGUGACCUGCCCUCAGCUCUGGGAUAAGCCUGGGAAACUGGGUCUAAUACCGGAUAUGACCUUUCCUCGCAUGGGGUUUGGUGGAAAGUUUUUUCGGCUGGGGGUGGGCCCGCGGCCUAUCAGCUUGCUGGUGGGGUGAUGGCCUACCAAGGCGACGACGGGUAGCCGGCCUGAGAGGGCGACCGGCCACACUGGGACUGAGACACGGCCCAGACUCCUACGGGAGGCAGCAGUGGGGAAUAUUGCGCAAUGGGCGGAAGCCUGACGCAGCGACGCCGCGUGGGGGAUGACGGCCUUCGGGUUGUAAACCUCUUUCGACCCCGACGAAUUUGGACGGUAGGGGUAGAAGAAGCACCGGCCAACUACGUG
This 460-nucleotide ribosomal RNA is filed under the name uncultured bacterium. Its description in RNAcentral is "partial 16S ribosomal RNA". It matches the Rfam family "Bacterial small subunit ribosomal RNA", at positions 28 to 507 of the family's 1533-position model. The record is from RNAcentral.